RNAcentral lists this ribosomal RNA (253 nucleotides) under uncultured bacterium. RNAcentral describes it as "partial 16S ribosomal RNA". It matches the Rfam family "Bacterial small subunit ribosomal RNA", at positions 524 to 776 of the family's 1533-position model. The record is from RNAcentral.
UACGAAGGGGGCGAGCGUUGUUCGGAUUUACUGGGCGUAAAGGGCGCGCAGGCGGUUCUGUUUGUCGAGUGUGAAAACUCGAGGCUCAACCUCGAGAUGUCGGCUGAAACCAUCUGGCUAGAGUCCGGAAGAGGAGAAUGGAAUUCCCGGUGUAGCGGUGAAAUGCGCAGAUAUCGGGAAGAACACCCGUGGCGAAGGCGGUUCUCUGGGACGGUACUGACGCUGAGACGCGAAAGCGUGGGGAGCGAACAGG